This 610-nucleotide long non-coding RNA is filed under the name Monodelphis domestica (gray short-tailed opossum). RNAcentral's name for it is "lncRNA (ENSMODG00000049272.1)". The record is from RNAcentral. Lineage: Eukaryota; Metazoa; Chordata; Mammalia; Didelphimorphia; Didelphidae.
AUCAUCUUUGAAGCUGCUUGCCUUGAAUUAUCCUCAAGAAAAAGGUUGAGUUUGAGUUCCCCAUUCACUCUGGUGGAAAGAACUGAUUUGGGUGUGAUCUCCUCCCUUUCAGGAUCAUUUACUGGUGUGUCCUAUUCAGGCAGUCCCAACCCUUUCAGCAUAAUAUCUAAAAGGAUGGGGAAGGAGUCAGGAAAUAAGGAUCUGAGAAGCUUGCACCAGCUCACCUGCAAUGAUAAACUCUGGGAGGAAAGUGCUAGGAUCAUUCCCAUCUUACAGAUGAGGAGACUGAGAAAAGUACAAGAAGGAAAGAGGCAAUACUCAACUGCAGAGACACAAUAAUAUGACUGUGAAAUACUGCAUAACAUAUCUAGAAUUAACUCUAGUAUCAUGACAUACCAAACCAAAAAGUGGUGAAAAAAGGGAUAAUCUAAUGAGGAAGCCCAUGAAGAAGUUAGUAUGAUUUAGUGGAAAGAGCCCUGAACAGGAAAAACAAAGUCCAGAUUUAAGUCCCAUGGUUACCAGGAACUGGCUACACAACCUAAGAAAAGUCAUUAUGCCAAUGAAUCAGUUGCUUCAUGCAAAACGGGAAAUAAAUAGCUGUCUUAUCUCA